Molecule: non-coding RNA, 94 nt
Organism: Armillaria nabsnona
Lineage: Eukaryota; Fungi; Basidiomycota; Agaricomycetes; Agaricales; Physalacriaceae
Source: the annotation of a GenBank genome assembly
UCGGAUAUGGUGUAACGGCUAACAUUACCGCCUUUCAUCGUUGAAUCGCUAAUCUCUCCCGCGGUAGCUCGGGGUUCGAUUCCCCGUAUCCGAA